Molecule: long non-coding RNA, 696 nt
Filed under: Gallus gallus (chicken)
Lineage: Eukaryota; Metazoa; Chordata; Aves; Galliformes; Phasianidae
Description: lncRNA (ENSGALG00010016358.1)
Source: RNAcentral
GGGGAGGUUGGUCUCUGUAGGGCCAAAACUAAUUCACCACAACGAGGAGGAAAGCCCAGAGCUCAUUGCUGAACCUAUUGUUGACGCGUUGCUAUUCCGUACGCGUGUUUAACAGCUCUAAAAGCCAUGCCCUGAAGCUGAUCUACUGAUAAAUUGCUCUGCAGCUCCCUCUAAUGGAUCGUUUGGCCAGACAGGGGCUCGGGGCAGCAGAUGCGAUAAAGCAGCGCCCGCUGCAGGGUAACACCGAGAGAGCUCUGCAGCACCAUCGUUGCCGCUGUUAUCUCUCCCCGUCCAUCCGUCACUUCACUCUUAUCUCAGCAUCUGCUGCAGCUCUGCUUCUAAGAGCUGAGAGGAGCAGGCACAGCUAAACCAGAAGGCAGCCUGCAGUUAUAUUUCCCUAAGCUGACCAUGAAGGGACAAAGCAGCUUCUUAUGAAGUGGAGAUGACAACGCUUUGCUGGUGGUAAAAAAUAAAAAUAAAAAAUAAAAAAAUAGAUCUAAUGUUGUGAUUGUACAGCUGGGGAAAAAAAUAGUCGGCCAAGUAUGUCAGACAACAAAAAUAAGCAAAAAUUACUUUGAUUUGGCUUCUACUAAAGGGACUAAAAAUAAAUACUUCUUUCAGAGGCCCCUUCUCAGAACAGGGGAUCGUGGAGGACCCACAAUCCUUAUAUCAAAACACUGAAUUAGUGAAUCUGGA